GAUGAAGAACGUAGCGAAAUGCGAUACGUAAUGUGAAUUGCAGAAUUCAGUGAAUCAUCGAGUCUUUGAACGCACAUUGCGCCCCCUGGUAUUCCGGGGGGCAUGCCUGUCCGAGCGUCAUUGCUGCCCUCAAGCACGGCUUGUGUGUUGGGCCUCCGUCCUCCUCCCGGGGGACGGGCCCGAAAGGCAGCGGCGGCACCGCGUCCGGUCCUCGAGCGUAUGGGGCUUCGUCACCCGCUCUUGUAGGCCCGGCCGGCGCUUGCCGACACAUCAAUCUUUUCUCCAGGUUGACCUCGGAUCAGGUAGGGAUACCCGCUGAACUUAAGCAUAUCAAUAAGCGGAGGA
Molecule: unclassified non-coding RNA, 345 nt
Filed under: soil metagenome
Description: partial contains 5.8S ribosomal RNA, internal transcribed spacer 2, and large subunit ribosomal RNA
Rfam family: 5.8S ribosomal RNA (bases 1-120)
Source: RNAcentral